CGCCCCGGGCGGCCCGCCGGCGGACAAACCAAACUCUUUUUCCCCCGUUGAUUAGCAGAGUGUCUUAUUUAAUAAGUCAAAACUUUCAACAACGGAUCUCUUGGUUCUGGCAUCGAUGAAGAACGCAGCGAAAUGCGAUAAGUAAUGUGAAUUGCAGAAUUCAGUGAAUCAUCGAAUCUUUGAACGCACAUUGCGCCCAUUAGUAUUCUAGUGGGCAUGCCUGUUCGAGCGUCAUUUCAACCCCUUUGCACAGCUUAUUGUUGGGAAUCCACGCCUGUGGUUCCUCAAAGACAUUGGCGGAGUGGCAGUAGUCCUCUGAGCGUAGUAAUUCUUUAUCUCGCUUUUGUUAGGUGCUGCCCCCCCGGCCGUAAAACCCCCAAUUUUUUCUGGUUGACCUCGGAUCAGGUAGGAAUACCCGCUGAACUUAAGCAUAUCAAUUAAGCGGAGGAA
RNAcentral lists this ribosomal RNA (450 nucleotides) under Nigrospora sp. Fun56W2. Its description in RNAcentral is "eukaryotic LSU rRNA". The stretch from base 81 to 234 matches the Rfam family "5.8S ribosomal RNA". Lineage: Eukaryota; Fungi; Ascomycota; Sordariomycetes; Amphisphaeriales; Apiosporaceae. The record is from RNAcentral.